AUUGUCACUGCUGUGGCAUGGAUUCGAUCGCUGGCCCUGGAACUUUGUAUGCUAAAGGCGACACCAAAAACAAAACAAAAAAACAAAUGUAAGUUAUAUAAUAUGCGUGUAUUAUAGCAAAUAGGAAAUUUUAUGAUAGGAAACCAGAGAAGGGUGAGAUCCAACUCACUCUCUAGCAGGAACGAUACUACUUAGAUUGGAGUUCCUUGGGUUCCUUUAAUAAAGAAAGAUGUUAUUCUCUGCUGUGUCUUUGGAAUUGAAAUUGGAGAACACAGGCCAGUCAACUCGGGAAUGGCUGCUGGUCAUACGUAUGCAGUUUUAUAUGAGAAAUUUGGAACCCAGAUUAUUCUGAUGAAAGGUACAUAGGAGAGCCGCUGAAAGACCACGGCUUCUAAGGAGGCAGGAGCACCAUGUAAAUGCCCACAGCCACCCCCCAAGUUCUAAUCCUGCCUUCUGGAGUAAACACGAAGACUUUAAAUGGAAUCAUGCAAUGUAAAUUCUGUUUUUUCCAGUGACUUUGUCAGCUGCUACUUGUUUGUUUGCUUGUUUGUGUGUUUUAACCACCAGAACACUUGCAAACUUGUGACGUUCACUUAAGGAAGGAAUUCGAAAUGCUUGAAAAUAAAGAGUAGUAUCUGGUUGGGAACAGUGUGUGUGUUCUUUGCUGCAAGAUAAAUUUGUGAGAUUGCUGAAAACUAGCUGCUCACUUCGACGUGGGCAUCUACGCUGGCUAUGGCUUGAUUCUCAGGAUGCCACCAUUUCUCUGUGACUUCCUGGUCCUCCCAGCCAUGUUUUGCUCCUUGACCUUUAUGAGGAAUCAGGCCUCCCAUGUGUGAGGCCCAAGAUCCCAUCGUUUAAAAACCACCAGGCACAGGUCCUUCCUGCCUUUUCUCUACCCCUGCAGGUCUUCCUGGCUCACCUUCCUUGGUCUUUUUCCUGUUCCUGCUUCAUUUCCUCACUGGACAUUCUCCUUGUAUGACCACACCAGUAAAGGGGUAAUGAGAGGUAUGAUUGAAUGACCAUGUUCAUUUUUAUUUGCCUCCUUUGUGACUGUAAACAGUUUCUUCCUAAAUUUCAGCCUGGCCUGUGAUAAUCUCACCACACUGGAAUAAUUGCAAAUAAGAAUAAAAUGGGUCACUUCCCUAUUUCAUCUAGAAGGAAAGAUGAAGGAAGAUUGGCAGAAGCCCAGCCUGACUCUGUGGAGACACAACCCAAAAGCCUUAUGCACUCCACCUUGAUCCAACAGGCCUGGAGUGCCCUAGAAUACAGGCGAAAGUGUGUGUGUGUAGAGUGUGUGUGUGUGUGUGUGUGUGUGUGUGUGUAUCCUCAUGCUUUCUGCCGUGGUAUUAAAGACCUAAUGAAGGCAGCCAAAGAAUACCAAGUGGUGACAGUAGGUAUUUGGAAUGAGUAACUUCGGUUCUGUUUGCCUACAACUGAGUUAAAAUUGGAGUGGUUCUAGAUUGAAGGUGAGAAAAAGCAGUCAUUGCCUUAGACUCAUUUCCAUAGUAAGCAUGCUCUUCUCAUCCACAAGGAUGAAACUCAUGUAGGGUUUGACCUGAACUCUUGGCUCAAGUGUGGUAUUGGGAGGGCAGUAGUGACCAGAACACUACAGGGCUUGCAUGAUAUUACUUUGAAAGAGGGAACAUGCAGCGUCAUUUGUUAGGGGAUAGAAAAGGAAUAAAAGCCAAGGACCACACUCUCUCCCUGAAGAAGAGGUGAACUCCCUCUACUGCUAUAUUUUGAGUUCACAGAAUGAGGAGGUUGACCCAGCUGUAAGGGGUAUUGAGGUCCUCAGACCUCAGAAAACAAUAUGUGCAUGUAACCUCAAAGGCUGUGAACAUGAGAAAGGGAAAAAGACAUUUCCAGAGUCAAUCUUAAUGGUUUUUGCAAUACCUCUUAUUUGCAGAUUAUUGAAUUUAUGUUAUUGCACCCUUCGUGUGAUCUCUCUUAUGUAUCUGAUAGUUUUUAUGAAUAAUUUUUGAGUUGUAAACUCCUGUACACUUUAUUAAAAUGGAC
RNAcentral lists this long non-coding RNA (2016 nucleotides) under Sus scrofa (pig). Its description in RNAcentral is "lncRNA (ENSSSCG00050034814.1)". Lineage: Eukaryota; Metazoa; Chordata; Mammalia; Artiodactyla; Suidae. The record is from RNAcentral.